GCGUCAUUGCAACCCUCAAGCACUGCUUGGUCGUGGGUCUCGUCCGCAGGGACGUGCCCGAAAGUUAGUGGCGGUCCAGCCGGGACUCCGGGCGUAGUAAACUAUUUCCCGCCCAGGGACGUUCCCGCGGUGGCCGGCCAGCCAACCCCAAAUUUUCAAUGGUUGACCUCGGAUCAGGUAGGGAUACCCGCUGAACUUAA
This 200-nucleotide unclassified non-coding RNA is filed under the name soil metagenome. RNAcentral's name for it is "partial contains internal transcribed spacer 2 and large subunit ribosomal RNA". The record is from RNAcentral.